GGCUGGGUAUCCAAGCGGCCAACGGAACCCGAUGCACAUCGGGCGGCAUCAGCCUGCGCAAGGUUCGAAUCCUGCUCCAGCCACGA
RNAcentral lists this transfer RNA (86 nucleotides) under Bifidobacterium cuniculi. RNAcentral's name for it is "tRNA-Cys". It matches the Rfam family "tRNA". Rfam says of the family: Transfer RNA (tRNA) molecules are approximately 80 nucleotides in length. Their secondary structure includes four short double-helical elements and three loops (D, anti-codon, and T loops). The record is from RNAcentral. Lineage: Bacteria; Bacillati; Actinomycetota; Actinomycetes; Bifidobacteriales; Bifidobacteriaceae.